UAUAUACAAACUCUGUUGCAUAUAAAAUAUUAUUAAAAUAUUGUUAUCUAGAAGCUUAAUUUAUUGGGUAAAUUUUAAACAAUAUUCGUGUGGUUUCGUACUUUCUCACUUUAACACCCUAUGGUUUAAAAUGUAUCAAUUUAGUAUUCUGUGGUUUUAUUUUUUUUCUUUUUGUCAGUCCCUCCGUUAACUUUUUGUUAAAUCAUAUAAAAAAGAAACUUUAGAUACCUCACUAUAGUUUAUCGAAUAUUCACUUUAAUUAGUACCAUUUUGUUUCAACUUUGUUAUUGAUUUAACAAAAAAAAUUAGUAGAGAAAAUAACAAAAAGAGAAAAAUAAAACCACGGGGGUACGAAAGUGAUACACUUUAAACCACAGGAUACUAAAGUGAGAAAGUGCGAAACCACAUGAAUGAUAUUUAAGUGUUUUCUAAUUUUUAGAAGACAAAUGAUUGUUUUACAUUAUAUCAGAAUAAAAUUUUCUAAGUUUGAAUUUUCCAAGGCUUCUUAGACUUCUUUAAUUCUCUUCUCUUCGAUCUCAAUUCACAUUUUGGGUCUGCUAAAAAAACUCGAGUCGGAAUAAAAGAGCGAUAGUGUUGAAUACAAAAUAUUAC
This 612-nucleotide long non-coding RNA is filed under the name Ananas comosus (pineapple). RNAcentral describes it as "long non-coding RNA (ACOM_LNC033803)". The record is from RNAcentral. Lineage: Eukaryota; Viridiplantae; Streptophyta; Magnoliopsida; Poales; Bromeliaceae.